This 90-nucleotide transfer RNA is filed under the name Chromohalobacter sp. RNAcentral's name for it is "tRNA-Ser". It matches the Rfam family "tRNA". From Rfam's summary of the family: Transfer RNA (tRNA) molecules are approximately 80 nucleotides in length. Their secondary structure includes four short double-helical elements and three loops (D, anti-codon, and T loops). Further hydrogen bonds mediate the characteristic L-shaped molecular structure. tRNAs have two regions of fundamental functional importance: the anti-codon, which is responsible for specific mRNA codon recognition, and the 3' end, to which the tRNAs corresponding amino acid is attached (by aminoacyl-tRNA synthetases). tRNAs cope with the degeneracy of the genetic code in two manners: having more than one tRNA (with a specific anti-codon) for a particular amino acid; and 'wobble' base-pairing, i.e. permitting non-standard base-pairing at the 3rd anti-codon position. Lineage: Bacteria; Pseudomonadati; Pseudomonadota; Gammaproteobacteria; Oceanospirillales; Halomonadaceae. The record is from RNAcentral. RNAcentral also lists the same sequence under 7 other names.
GGAGGGAUGGCAGAGCGGUUGAAUGCACCGGUCUUGAAAACCGGCGAAGGUUUGCGCCUUCCCAGGGUUCGAAUCCCUGUCCCUCCGCCA